UUACUGGCUUAUUUGUUUGUUUCCAAAUUUAUAUUCGGUGUGGCUUAAAUCCGUUCCUUUCUCCUUAGCUUUGUAUUGACCAGGCCUCCUGACUAUGGUUGUUUUUGUUAUAUGCAUUAAUGCAACAGAUGCCAGUACAUUAUUUUGUAGCUUGUUUGGAUGAAUAAAUAUGCAAAACUGUGAAGUAUUACAUUUUACUUUUUAUCAUAAAAAAUAAGGGACAAUCUGUUGCUACCCUAAUUGAGGUAAUGUGUGGUUUACAGACUUGGCAGUUAUAACAGUGAAUUUUAAAUGAUUGUAUCCAAUAAACACUGCAAAACAAAAUAUUGUAAAUGGUUGCAAAAAAAAAUAAAAAUUCGAAAAACACUCCAUAAAAAAAGAGAGGGGCAUGAGGGAGGGAGAUGUGGUGUGUUUUUGCGAUUUAACUCUUUUAGUGACAGAGUGUGUAUGAUCUCGGUAUCUGAUUAGCCAGUAACAUAAGCAAAGAUAUGCAAACAUCGAG
Pelobates cultripes (western spadefoot toad) is the source of this 502-nucleotide non-coding RNA. The record is from the annotation of a GenBank genome assembly. Lineage: Eukaryota; Metazoa; Chordata; Amphibia; Anura; Pelobatidae.